This 1373-nucleotide ribosomal RNA is filed under the name uncultured bacterium. RNAcentral's name for it is "bacterial SSU rRNA". It matches the Rfam family "Bacterial small subunit ribosomal RNA", at positions 28 to 1382 of the family's 1533-position model. The record is from RNAcentral.
GAUGAACGCUGGCGGCGUGCCUAAUACAUGCAAGUCGAGCGAACGGACGAGAAGCUUGCUUUUCUGAUGUUAGCGGCGGACGGGUGAGUAACACGUGGAUAACCUACCUAUAAGACUGGGAUAACUUCGGGAAACCGGAGCUAAUACCGGAUAAUAUUUUGAACCGCAUGGUUCAAAAGUGAAAGACGGUCUUGCUGUCACUUAUAGAUGGAUCCGCGCUGCAUUAGCUAGUUGGUAAGGUAACGGCUUACCAAGGCAACGAUGCAUAGCCGACCUGAGAGGGUGAUCGGCCACACUGGAACUGAGACACGGUCCAGACUCCUACGGGAGGCAGCAGUAGGGAAUCUUCCGCAAUGGGCGAAAGCCUGACGGAGCAACGCCGCGUGAGUGAUGAAGGUCUUCGGAUCGUAAAACUCUGUUAUUAGGGAAGAACAUAUGUGUAAGUAACUGUGCACAUCUUGACGGUACCUAAUCAGAAAGCCACGGCUAACUACGUGCCAGCAGCCGCGGUAAUACGUAGGUGGCAAGCGUUAUCCGGAAUUUUAUGGGCGUAAGCGCGCGUAGGCGGUUUUUUAAGUCUGAUGUGAAAGCCCACGGCUCAUCCGUGGAGGGUCAUUGGAAACUGGAAAACUUGAGUGCAGAAGAGGAAAGUGGAAUUCCAUGUGUAGCGGUGAAAUGCGCAGAGAUAUGGAGGAACACCAGUGGCGAAGGCGACUUUCUGGUCUGUAACUGACGCUGAUGUGCGAAAGCGUGGGGAUCAAACAGGAUUAGAUACCCUGGUAGUCCACGCCGUAAACGAUGAGUGCUAAGUGUUAGGGGGUUUCCGCCCCUUAGUGCUGCAGCUAACGCAUUAAGCACUCCGCCUGGGGAGUACGACCGCAAGGUUGAAACUCAAAGGAAUUGACGGGGACCCGCACAAGCGGUGGAGCAUGUGGUUUAAUUCGAAGCAACGCGAAGAACCUUACCAAAUCUUGACAUCCUUUGACAACUCUAGAGAUAGAGCCUUCCCCUUCGGGGGACAAAGUGACAGGUGGUGCAUGGUUGUCGUCAGCUCGUGUCGUGAGAUGUUGGGUUAAGUCCCGCAACGAGCGCAACCCUUAAGCUUAGUUGCCAUCAUUAAGUUGGGCACUCUAAGUUGACUGCCGGUGACAAACCGGAGGAAGGUGGGGAUGACGUCAAAUCAUCAUGCCCCUUAUGAUUUGGGCUACACACGUGCUACAAUGGACAAUACAAAGGGCAGCGAAACCGCGAGGUCAAGCAAAUCCCAUAAAGUUGUUCUCAGUUCGGAUUGUAGUCUGCAACUCGACUACAUGAAGCUGGAAUCGCUAGUAAUCGUAGAUCAGCAUGCUACGGUGAAUACGUUCCCCGGGCUU